RNAcentral lists this long non-coding RNA (1609 nucleotides) under Sarcophilus harrisii (Tasmanian devil). RNAcentral describes it as "lncRNA (ENSSHAG00000029058.1)". The record is from RNAcentral. Lineage: Eukaryota; Metazoa; Chordata; Mammalia; Dasyuromorphia; Dasyuridae.
GGAGGCUGCCUUGGAAGCACAUGGGGCCCAGAGGCUCCACCCUGACCUUCAGCCCUAGAUUUUAAAAUAAUUGGCCCAGUGAAGUCUGUACUUGGCUGCCUUUUUGGUGCCGGGCCGGGGCACCACCAGCUAAAGGUCUCCCACUCUGCCAGAAAGGGCACCUGGGACCGCAACCGCUCGGAGGCCGCGGGAGGGCCAGGAAGGGUCACCUCGUUGUACCAAGGGUCCUGUAAUCCAGCCCCCACCCCGGACUCUGCAAGCCGAAGAUGCCAUGUUGAGUGUCCCGUGCUAAAGCUCCCCUGCUCCCUUUGUCCACUUCCUCCCGGGCCUCUGUGCAAACAUCUCCGCAUGCGAGGCUGGGGUGUCCCCAGCUCGGGUGUCAGCCCUUGAGGACCCGCUUCCCUCCGGGCCCCCUCCUGUAGCUCCCACCUCCCAGAGCUCAAACCAGCUCCUCUCAGGCUGCCUCCUGCGGCUCGCCCGCACCUUCCUGGGACCACUUCUGGGUCUUUCCCAGAGCUCCUUUCCAAAGCAAGCGGAUGAUGCCCAACGGGCUGAUUUGGCCCCAAAUCCUAUUCAGACUUGUUUUCCCCAGUGAUUCCACAAGUGAUCUAAAAGUUGCCUGGAAUGGGAUCUUUGGAGCCUGCCCUGGGGCCAGAGUAGUUCAGGGGAGUUUGGAUUCAGAGGACACCCCAAUACUCCCCUUGUUCUUGCAGCUACCACCUUGGGGCAGGGCCUGGGUGAAACCCAGAUGCAGAAGGAACUGCAGGGCUGCCCCCAUUCCAUCAUCAGGCCCUCCAAGGAGGCCAGGGAGGUGUUGGGCUGUGAAAUGCCAGUAUUCAAAUUGGUGAGCCCCUGAGGCAGUGCAGGACCCCAAGCAAGGGCCCACCAGCUGCCCAGGGGGCAGGUGCAAAGGGGAGCUUCCAAAAUCAGAGAGGCCGAAGCUGGCUUAGAAACCAUGGGCGCCACAUAAGCUCACCUGUGAGAAUUUAAGGGCACUCACCGCUGGACUCCUCCCUGCCAUCCUGUCCAACACCAGAAAGCAAGAUCUCAUCUCCGCCUCAAGGGCCCUUCUGAGCAACCAAAGUGAAGUCUCCCCCCCCAAAAAAGAGAUUCCCCCUAAUUCCAAACACUCAAAGUCAGAAAUCUCUUUCUCCAGGCCCUGAACACAGGCUCAGGUUCAUUCGAUAGCAAAGAGUGAAAUCCCGAUAACCAGAAAAAAUCCUCUACAAAAAAGAGCCUCCUCUGAGUGCCAGAGGCCCUUGGGCCUGGCAGGAGCCGUGCCUGGGGGAGAGCCAGGAGAGGCGGCAAAGCCAGAGGCCAUUUUCCCCGACGUCCAGCUCCACACCAGGCUCUCUGGGGCGAGCUCUCAUGACCUUUUCCUGCCUACACCCUCCGAGUGUCCGGAAGCUGAGCCCCCUGCCCCCAGAGAAGAGGCCCAGGGUCAGCUCGGCUCUUCCAGGGCCUGGCGUCCUUCUGAGAGAGCAGGAAGCGGGAGUUCCUUCCGCCUGUAACCCCCCCUCGUAAACCCGCACGGCCCCCGGAGCAGGAUCCAGCGUGCAUCCAGCUUGGUUUUACGGUGACACGGUUUCCCUUUUAGAGUCAAUGCUGA